RNAcentral lists this ribosomal RNA (525 nucleotides) under uncultured bacterium. RNAcentral's name for it is "bacterial SSU rRNA". It matches the Rfam family "Bacterial small subunit ribosomal RNA", at positions 355 to 896 of the family's 1533-position model. The record is from RNAcentral.
UGGGGAAUAUCANNAAAUGGACCAAAAGUCUGAUCCAGCAAUUCUGUGUGCACGAUGACGUUUUUCGGAAUGUAAAGUGCUUUCAGUUGGGAACAAAAAAAUGACGGUACCAACAGAAGAAGUGACGGAUAANUACGUGCCAGCAGCCGCGGUUAAUACGUAUGUCACAAGCGCUAUCCGGAUUUAUUGGGCGUAAAGCGCGUCUAGGUGGUUAUGUAAGUCUGAUGUGAAAAUGCAGGGCUCAACUCUGUAUUGCGUUGGAAACUGCAUGACUAGAGUACUGGAGAGGUAAGCGGAACUACAAGUGUACAGGUGAAAUUCGUAGAUAUUUGUAGGAAUGCCGAUGGGUAAGCCAGCUUACUGGACAGAUACUGACGCUAAAGCGCGAAAGCGUGGGUAGCAAACAGGAUUAGAUACCCUGGUAGUCCACGCCGUAAACGAUGAUUACUAGGUGUUGGGGGUCGAACCUCAGCGCCCAAGCUAACGCGAUAAGCAAUCCGCCUGGGGAGUACGGUCGCAAGAUUA